UUUGAGGCGAUGACCCUUUCCUCAAAUUAUCGACUAUGGUUAUACUGUGCGAUUUUUGAGGAGUUCUCUUUGGACAAGACUCUAAGCCAGAUGUUCUGACCAAA
Small nucleolar RNA from Dichanthelium oligosanthes, 104 nucleotides. It matches the Rfam family "Small nucleolar RNA Z103". From Rfam's summary of the family: This family consists of several snoRNA Z103 sequences which are members of the C/D class of snoRNA which contain the C (UGAUGA) and D (CUGA) box motifs. This family seems to be found exclusively in plants. The record is from Rfam. Lineage: Eukaryota; Viridiplantae; Streptophyta; Magnoliopsida; Poales; Poaceae.